This 292-nucleotide ribosomal RNA is filed under the name uncultured bacterium. RNAcentral's name for it is "partial 16S ribosomal RNA". The record is from RNAcentral. RNAcentral also lists the same sequence under 1 other name.
GGACUACCCGGGUAUCUAAUCCCGUUUGCUCCCCUGGCUUUCGCGCAUCAGCGUCAGAAGAGGUCCAGCACGCCGCUUUCGCCACCGGCGUUCCUUCGGAUAUCUACGCAUUUCACCGCUCCACCCGAAGUUCCGCAUGCCCCUACCUCCCUCGAGGUUCCCAGUAUCGGAGGCCAUUUUCCGGUUGAGCCGAAAGAUUUCACCACCGACUUGAGAACCCGCCUACGCGCCCUUUAAGCCCAGUGAAUCCGAACAACGUUUGCACGGUUCGUCUUACCGCGGCUGCUGGCAC